AUUGAACGCUGGCGGCAGGCUUAACACAUGCAAGUCGAACGGUAACAUAAAGAAGCUUGCUUCUUUGAUGACGAGUGGCGGACGGGUGAGUAAUGCUUGGGAAUCUAGCUUAUGGAGGGGGAUAACUACGGGAAACUGUAGCUAAUACCGCGUAAUAUCGAAAGAUUAAAGUGUGGGACCUUCGGGCCACAUGCCAUAGGAUGAGCCCAAGUGGGAUUAGGUAGUUGGUGAGGUAAAGGCUCACCAAGCCGACGAUCUCUAGCUGGUCUGAGAGGAUGACCAGCCACACUGGGACUGAGACACGGCCCAGACUCCUACGGGAGGCAGCAGUGGGGAAUAUUGCGCAAUGGGGGCAACCCUGACGCAGCCAUGCCGCGUGAAUGAAGAAGGCCUUCGGGUUGUAAAGCUCUUUCGGUAGCGAGGAAGGCAUUUAGUUUAAUAGACUAAGUGAUUGACGUAACUACAGAA
Molecule: ribosomal RNA, 468 nt
Filed under: Streptococcus sp. oral taxon C14
Lineage: Bacteria; Bacillati; Bacillota; Bacilli; Lactobacillales; Streptococcaceae
Description: bacterial SSU rRNA
Rfam family: Bacterial small subunit ribosomal RNA
Source: RNAcentral